GGGUUGGAGAUGAAAUCUAAAGUCACAUUCAUAUUGGAGCAGUUUGGCCCACUUUAAAUAGACUCUGGUUUGUUUUCUUGGCCAAUCAAACCUUGGUGUGAAUCACUUGAGGUGUGUGAAGGCAAAACAAACCAAAAGGUAAAAAGGGGUGUACACCAGAGUCCAUCACAGGUCAUCUGUGUGAAUUGAUUCCUUGCUUGUUGUGUGUCUCUAUCACAGCGAAACGUUAUAGUCUCUCUCUCUCUCUCUCUCACCAGGGCUCGCCUCCUUUUCGGCACAGAUUAAUUCAUCUUAAAGAAAGGAACAACAUGCUCAUUCACCUGCUCAUACUGGGUGCCCAUUUGUCAAACACAUGUAUGAAUGAACACCAGAGCACAAUCCCUGAGACUGCAUAGAUUUGGUGUUGCUCCAUUGUUUAUGUGAUGAAUAAGAUGUCAAAGGGGGAGGUGUUCCUGUUUUCUGUUCUGGCCAAUAGAUUCAUCAUCUUCUUCUUUAUUGCCGUCUUCAUCAGCGUUUGUUUGGGGCGGUUCUGCCACAGAGGAGCAGUUAUUGUAAUUGUAUGUCAUUGUCCACACAGUUUGGUUUGUUCAAUCAAGUGCAGUGUGAUAGUGAACGAGGUGAAAGCCCAACUGUGGACCGAUUUCAUCCCCACAAUCAAACCGUGUCCCGGCAUCUUAAAACAAUCCUAAUGUCCAUCUUUCUGAUUCAAUCUGUUUCAACUGCCGUCUUUGCCGGUCUCCGAUGCCUGAUACGAAUUUAAUGCUGGUCCUAGCUCGUUUUGUUAUGAUCUUUGCUGGUUUGAUGCUGGUUUUUGCUGGUCUUUGUUGGUCUGCAGUUGAUUUAAAGAUGUUUUAUGUUGGUCUCAUUCUUUUUUUGCAGGUCUGAUGAUGCUGGUUUUUUGCUGGUCUUUGUUAAAUGUUAGACUUGUUGGUCUUAAGCUGGUAUCUUUGCUAUUUUUUGCUAAUGUUGCUUUUUUUAUGCUAGUUUGAUUCUGCUUUUGAUCCUGCCUUGAUGCUGGUCUUUGUAAGUUUUAGAUGGUCUUUCUGUCACGGUCUGGAGUGACACAAAAAGGGAAAGGACCCAAAAUGCAGAACAACAACAACAAAAAAAGAUGAAUUAUUUAAAAAGAGCAAAAGAAAAAGAAAAAAUUCACUGGGGCAAAAUCACAGGGAGCAACUGGGGACACAGGCAUAGGCACACACCAACAAACAAAGAACCAACAAGGACAGAGGAGAAACAGGGACUAUAUACACACUGGGAAACGAGCAACAGGUGAGGCAGACGAGACACAGGUGAAACUCGUUAGUGAUUAACAAAGGAGGGAAAACCUGGGAAGUAAAACAAGACUAGAAACACAAGGAAUAAACUACUACAAACAUAAAACAGGGAACACUAACAACUGAUAUAAAGAGUAAAACAGAGAACAGGAGGGAAACUAAAAACUCACAAGACUGGACUACAGGGGAACAGGGACAACAGGGAACAGAAACACAACAGGAAAAUACACAAAAUGUACUCAAAUAAAACCAGGAGAAGAAAACUAAAUUAACAGAACAUAUCACAACACUUUCCUGGUUUGAUGCUGUUUUUGUUCUUCUCUGCUGGUUUGAUACUGAUCUGAUACUAAUUCAUGUUGGUCUGAAGCUGGUUUUUGUUUGUUCGAUGCAGAUUUGAUGUUACUCAAGGGCUUUUUUUUCAUUUUUCGCAAAUCAUUAUCCAGCUUUAGGCUUAAAUGAAAGAGACAUUGUUUGAUUUAGUAGCAGAUAUAGAAAUCAGAUAAAUGUUAUUUAUUUAUAUGUGAGUGCACACAUAUUGUGUUUUAUGCCACCCUGUUUUAAAAAGGCAGCAGAACUAUGCUGCGACUCUGGAUCUUUGAAUGCAAACGCAGGAACCUUAAAUCAACUGAAAAGUCUUUUUCUAAAUAAACAGAACAUCCUUGCAAGUGUUUUAGCUACUCUGGAGGUGGGUGGAACUGACUAGUCCUUGCACUUCUCAGAAUAGUUUUUCCCUAUGUGCACCGGUGCUAUGAAGCAUUGAGGAAAACCAUGGGAGUGUCAAUCAAACAGCGCGUACACGCCCAGACAGUUCUGUGAUCGAAGACUCAUUAUCCGAAACUAAUUGGGACUAUCUGAGUAGGUUUACUGUCACUGAGGAGACUAUGAAGUACAGGCAUUUAGCUCUAACUUCUAUUUUACUCAGUUAACAGAAGCUCCAUGUUGGUUCCUCUGCUCCAACAGUUUAUUUCCUCCUCUCACAGUACUCAGACUGAUGCUCUGAAUAAAUAAACAGCAGCUCUAGUAACCCUCUGAAUUCAUGAAGAGUCCAUUUCAGUGCCAGAGAGCUGACACCCUGAGUGCCAAUUUAUGAACACUCACACUCACACACACACACACACACACACUCCCCCAAACCAGCAGUGUUUGCUCCAGUUGCAGUCAGACACACAAUGCGUGUCAUCUGUUUUAUUCUGACUGCAGCGCUGAGUGAGGGAAAUACAAAAGCAGUGAGUCAGGAUGAGACGAAGAAGAAAAGGAAAGAGGGAGACAGGGAAAUGUGUUUUUGUUCCAAAAAGCAGCGACCUGAGAUAAAGUACAAAAUCAGGGAAGAAAAGAAAAGAUUUGAUCCACUUCAAUGGCGUCUAGACGAGAGUGUCUUUAAACGCACCACCCUCUUGUUACUUUACUUCAUCUUUUGGUGACUAAGCUACAUUUAUCUGCUUUGACAAAAUAGCUGAUUAUGUACGGAUCAACAGAUAGAAAUACUCCUGAAAGCAGAUAAUUAUCGCUCUUUAUUCAAACACAAAAAUUUAUUAUUUUCUCUAUUUUCUGAAAACCCUGAACAAAAGGACACGAAUCGAAACAAGAUGUUAGCAACCCACUUAGAAAAGCUGAGUUAUCUGCUUUUUUUACAUUCAGCUACAUCAGAAUUUUUUCUUCAGCUUCAUGGAAAUAUAAUUUUAAUACAAGCAUGAACUUUCAUCGAGCCCCAUCCUGCAAGAUCAAACCCACUCCCAUCCCAUCUUCAACCACACAAGUGUGGAAAUUUGCAGCAGGUUACAGUGGAGAGGAAAACUCCCUUAAACAGGCAGAAACUUUGAGCAGAACCAGACUCAUGUCAGACAGUCAUCUGCUGAGGUUUAGAGAGGGAAAUAAGAGAGAUGGACAGAGGUGAGGCUGAUACAUCUGGGGUUAAAGCAGCAGCAAACCAUCUGAAGCAGCAAUCUAGAGGAACCUACAGCAUGAUGGAGCUCAAGGACUAAUUCCUGGAGUUCAUAGCUUGUAGUUUCCUAUAACUGGAAGGGUUAUGGGGAACUACAAGCUGAUGGAAAUGUCAAAAAGGACUGAGCUUAAAUGUCGUCUUGCAGACCUUGAGGCUCAUUAUUAUGUAAAAAAUUUGUUUGUGCAAUGAACAAACCAACUACCGCUAAUGAUUAUUUUUCCUUUCAGUUGUAUUUUCAAUCAGCAUUUCCUUCUGAAACCACAAAUAUGCCUGAAGACGGUGCAGACCAAGGACAGCUUCAGAUGUUCCACUUCCUACAGAUCUAACAUCCAGAUCUAAAUAGCGUGACAGAUCCGAUACCCUGACUGAGGGUCGAGAAUGAAUAUGUAGGAGCCAUUUCUUCCUCUUUACCUGCACGUCAUUGUUUUUUUUUUUUCUUUUCAACGAUAAGACCAUUACAGACUACGACAAAGCGCUGGAGCAGGUAAUUACUCCCAAACUAAUUAGCUGACAAGUCAAGGACAGACA
This 3747-nucleotide long non-coding RNA is filed under the name Xyrichtys novacula (pearly razorfish). The record is from RNAcentral. Lineage: Eukaryota; Metazoa; Chordata; Actinopteri; Labriformes; Labridae.